Molecule: long non-coding RNA, 224 nt
Filed under: Elaeis guineensis (African oil palm)
Lineage: Eukaryota; Viridiplantae; Streptophyta; Magnoliopsida; Arecales; Arecaceae
Description: long non-coding RNA (EGUI_LNC018457)
Source: RNAcentral
CACCUCCAUGAUACCAUCACAAUGGAGUCAAAACAUUUCAAAUAUAAAGGGAGCAGACCACCUCUUUGGAAUUAGCUGCAUAUUUAUAAGUAAUGGAUAAUGAUCAGAUCCAAUGUGAAGCAAAUGUUCAACUAAGAAGGGAAGCCUUUUUUUCAAACUUUAACAAUUUUAUGAUGAUCGCUGAUUUUGGCAGUACCAAAAUUUUUAUGAAUCCAUCCGAUGCA